CUACGGCCUCGGAUGAGAUGUGGCGACCCGCUGAAUAUAAGCAUAUUACUAAGUAGAGGAAAAGAAACUAAUCAGGAUUCCCUCAGUAACGGCCAGUGAAGAGGUAAGAGCCUAGCGCUGAAUCCCCGUUCAGCGUCAGGCAAGGGGAAAUGUGGCGUACAGAAGAUCGACUCCUCAGCAUCGCUCAUGGGGCUCAAGUCCUCUGAUCGAGUCUCACCCUGCAGACGGUAUUAGGCUGGUAGCAGUCUCUGGGAUGCCGAGAUCAGGUCUUCUUGGAAUCAGGUUGCUUGGGAAUGCACCCCAAAGCAUGUGAUAAACUCCAUCUGAGGCUAAAGACGGGCGCGAGACGGAUGGCUAACAAGUACCACAAGGGAACGUUGAAAAUAACAUUGAAGAGAGAGCUCAAGAGGGAAUGAACCGUUGAGAGGUAAACUGGUGGGGUCCGUGCAGUCAGGCCGCGUGAUUCAACACAGCAGGCAGGUCGGUCGCCUGGAACGGUGGAUGCUCUCACGGAACUGCGGCCUGGGCAGACCCGGCAGCUGCAGGGCACAUUUCCUCUGUGGCGGUGCACUGCGACAGACUGGGAAGGCCCCAGGGGGCAGGUGGCUCUCUGCUCCGUCAGAGAGUGUUACAGACCCCUGACAGCAGUUUUGCUGUGUCCGCCAGGCCGAGGGAGAUUGACCGCUGCCAUGCCCGUCUCCGGCAACCGUCCUGGCCCUCUUGGGGUCACCGGUUGGCAACUGGAGACAGGGCACCCGAUGCGACUGUGGCGGACUGCCCUCAGUGCACCCAGACCACGUUGUGCGCUGGCAGGGACGCCCACAAAGGGCGCCAGGGUCUGAGGUGAUGUCAGUUAACCACCUGACCUGUCUUGAAACACAGUCCAAGGAGUCCUAACACAUGCGCAAGUCGGGGGGCCAAAUGAAACACUGUGUUCAAAGAAGGUAAGGGCCGGCGCGCGCUGAUUGCAGUGGGAUCCCGUCGCAGUGCGUGCACCACCGACCCGUCUCGCCGCUCUGUCAGGCAGAUGGAGCAUGAGCGUGUGUGAUAGGACCCGAAAGAUGUUGAACUAGGCCUGGUGGAGGUCCGUAGCGGCCCUGACGUGUAAAUCGGUCAUCCGACCUGGUUCCCUCCAGAGUUUCCCUCAGGAUAGCUGGCGCAUGGAAACCCCAGUUUUAUCGGGUAAAGCGAAUGAUUAGAGGUCUUGGACCAAAAUGAUCUCAAUCUAUUCUCAAACUUUAAAUGGAUAAGAAGCCCGGCUCGCCGGCGUGGAGCCGGGCAUUGAAUGCAAGGGGCCAGUGGCAACAUUUGUUAAGCAGAACUGGCGCUGCAGGAUGAACCGAAUGCCGGGUUAAGGCGCCCGAUGCCAACGCUCAUCAGACCCCAGAAAAGGUGUUGGUUGAUAUAGACAGCAGGAUGGUGGCCAUGGAAGUAGGAAUCUGCAAAGGAGACACAGGGAGUUUUUUUCUUUGUGAAGGGCAGGGCACCCUGGAAUGGAUUCACCCUGAGAGAGGGGCCCGAGCCUUGGAAAGCGUUGCAGUUCCGUCUGCGUGCGGUGAGCUCUCGCUGGUCCUUGAAAUUCCGGGGGAGAUUGUGUAAAUCUCGCGCUGGGCUAUACCCAUAUCCUCAGCAGGUCUCCAAGGUGAACAGCCUCUGGCAUGUUGGAACAAUGUAGGUAAGGGAAGUCGGCAAGCCAGAUCCGUAACUUCGGGAUAAGGAUUGGCUCUAAGGGCUGGGUCGGUCGGGCUGGGAAGUGGGCUUGGCGCGCCCUGCGGCUGGACAAGGUGUCUCACCCUCCCUCCCCCCAGGGUCAGUGCUGACUCUGGAUGCGAGCCAGGCCCUGCCUGCGGAUCGCCCCUGCUGCGGUGGUCGCCUUUAUCCUUUCCCCUCCCGGGGUUCAGAGCCGACAUUCUGCCUCGGCCGACGUCUACUAGCUGACUUAGAACUGGUGCAGACCAGGGGAAUCUGACUGUAAACAGCAUUGCGAAGGCCUGCGGUGGGUGUUGACGUGAAGUGAUUUCUGCCCAGUGCUCUGAAUGUCAAGGUGAAGAAAUAAAAUGAAUCGCGGGUAAACGGCGAGAGUAGCUAUGACUCUCUUAAGGUAGUCAAAUGCCUCGUCAUCUAAUUAGUGACGCGCAUGAAUGGAUGAACGAGAUUCCCACUGUUCCUACCUACUAUCUAGCAAAACCACAGCCAAGGAAACAGGCUUGGCAGAAUCAGCAGGGAAAUAAGACCCAGUUGAGCUUGUCUCUAGUCUGGCACUGUGAAGAGACAUGCAAGGUGUAGGAUAAGUGGGAGGCCCUCGGGCCGCUGGUGAAAUACCACUAAUUCCAUCGUUUUUUCACUUACCCAGUGAGGUGCGGGUGAGCCCCGUGGGGCUCUCACUUCUGGCUCCAAGCUCCCGGCGCCCGGUGUGCGUGACCCGCGCCGGGGACAGUGGCAGUUGGGGAGUUGGACUGGGGCGGUACACCUGUCAACAAUAACGCAGGUGUCCUAAGGCCAGCUCAGGGAGGACGGAAACCUCCUGCGGUCAGAAGGCCAAAAGCUCACUUAAUCUCGAUUUUUCAGUAUGAAUACAGACCGUGAAGGCGGGGCCUCACGGUCCUUCUGACAUUUUGGGUUUCAAGCAGGAGGUGUCAGAAAAGUUACCACAGGGAUAACUGGCUUUUGGCGGCCAAGCGUUCAUAGUGACGUCGCUUUUUGAUCCUUCGAUGUCGGCUCUUCCUAUAAUGAAGCAGAAUUCACCAAGCAUUGGAUUGGUCACCCACUAAUAGGGAACGUGAGGUGGGUUUAGACUGUCGUGAGACAGGUUAGUUUGACUCUGCUGAUGAUAUGUUGUUGCAAUAGUAAUCCUGCUCAGUACAAGAGGAACCGCAGGUUCAGACAUUUGGUGUAUGUGCUUGGCUGAGGAGCCAAUGGGGCGAAGCUACCAUCUGUGGGAUUAUGACUGAAUGCCUCUUAAGUCAGAAUCCCCCUAUACGUACCGCUGUCGAGCCUCGGUUGGCCUAGGAUAGCCGGCCUCUGGGCCGGUGCAAUAGUCGCUCGCCUCGGAUUUGAGUGUGGACAGAAGGGGCCCACCUCUCUUGCCAUAGUGUACUGCAUGUGCGUGGGGACACUGGUGCAAAAUCAUUGGACCUGAUUCUGGUUCAGGGUUUCGUAAGUAGGAAAACAGCUACCUCGCUGCAAUCUAUUGAAAGUCAUCCUC
This 3205-nucleotide ribosomal RNA is filed under the name Ambystoma mexicanum (axolotl). RNAcentral describes it as "eukaryotic LSU rRNA". It matches the Rfam family "Eukaryotic large subunit ribosomal RNA". Lineage: Eukaryota; Metazoa; Chordata; Amphibia; Caudata; Ambystomatidae. The record is from RNAcentral.